GAGAGAGAGAGAGAGAGAGAGAGAGAGAGAGAAACCAACCUAGUGUACAAAGCUAACAUUUAUAUUCAUUGCCCCACCCACUUUUGCUUCUGGCCCCGCCCAGCACUGGCAUGUGGCCCCCAACAUGUUGUCCAAAAAGGAAUGUGGCCCUCAGUCUAAAAAAGGUCUCCCUAUUCCUGCUUAACUAUUUCCUGCCCCUCCAUUUUCCUCUCCAACCCUUUCCCCUCAAGUUGCUUUUUCCUAUUUAACCGGCAGCUGCAUCUUCAAGCCUCAGCUUCAAGCAGUGUGGAAGGGAAGAGCCCAUGGCGGUGCUGCGGAUCAGAGGAGCCAGUAAUGCCAACUGAGUCCCCUUUGCAAAGGAAAAGGCAUGGAUUGCUUCAUAUUGACUUACUGUUUAAAUGAGAUCAGUCAAAGCGUACGUGGACACCACUGUCUUGUACCACUUAACCAGGAAUAAGGGAACUAUAAACCAGGGGUGCAGGAAAAGGAAAAGACCUGCAUUCCAGGACACCCACAAUUCCUGAAGGAUGCUGCACACAUCCCCUGGUAGCCCUGCCAUCUCGAGUUGGCCUUCUGCAGUGAUAAAAGGCAAUGUAAGCCACCCUACCUUAGUUGUCGCAACCAAGUCAUUUAGAAUGUUAUGCAGAACCCUACAAGAUCCUAGGAAACACUGAUUCCCCCCCCCAAACUGUAUUGUUUCUCUUGAUUUUUUCUCCAUCACAACAUACAGAGAGCUGGAUAGUCUGACGGGUUGCAUAAGUUGGGUUUAAUGAGCAG
Podarcis muralis (Common wall lizard) is the source of this 777-nucleotide long non-coding RNA. RefSeq lists it as uncharacterized. The record is from RefSeq and is a predicted model, not a curated record. NCBI's taxonomy places the organism in Eukaryota, Metazoa, Chordata, Lepidosauria, Squamata, Lacertidae.